Molecule: long non-coding RNA, 707 nt
Filed under: Pan troglodytes (chimpanzee)
Lineage: Eukaryota; Metazoa; Chordata; Mammalia; Primates; Hominidae
Description: lincRNA
Source: RNAcentral
GCAUAUUCUACUCCCUUUUGCUAAUGAGAUACAAGCAAAGUGAGGAGAAUCCUGUUAUCUCUAUGAUAAUAAGCACACAUUAACUUGCUGGGGGACGAGAUACCACACGGAGAAGAACGAAGGUGCCCCAGUUGACAGGCAACUCACCCCUAGAAACAGCUGCAAUCAGCAUCUGUCCACACAUGUCUGAAGGAUCCCAGCUGAGACCAAAAGAAUUGCCCAGCUGAGUUUAGCUUAAAUUGCUGACCAGCCGAAUCAUGAGCUAGGCCCUGUCCCUUCAGCCUUUGGCCUGGGGAGAGAUGUUGAUAAGGAGGCACCGAUCUUUCACUGCUGGAAGGAAAUGAGGGUUCAGACCCUUCACCUCCCUCAGAGCUGCACGUCAGUGUGACAGCCACUGGCCAUGUCCCAGCGUCCGAUCACAUCCUCCGUCACUCAGGGACUGAGGGGGCGGGGCCUGGAGCCCUAUCCAAUCAGGGGCGCUGACGUAGGAACCGUCCAAUCAGGCGUGCAGCCGGACAGAAGGGCGCGGCUUCCGGGAUCUGGCGGGGCCUUCGUCUCUCUUGCCAGCCUCAGCUGGGUCGUCUUCUGUGCUCGGCGUGCUCUGCUCGGGGAAGCUCAGGUGGCCGCCACAGCCUCUUGCCCUCUGACCUGCAGGUAUCGGGAGAUCCAUAGCUAAGAAGCCUGGACACCCGGGAAGCUGGGAAAUG